RNAcentral lists this non-coding RNA (21 nucleotides) under Arabidopsis thaliana (thale cress). The record is from RNAcentral. Lineage: Eukaryota; Viridiplantae; Streptophyta; Magnoliopsida; Brassicales; Brassicaceae.
GGCAAUAUGUCUACGCUGGUU